RNAcentral lists this small RNA (24 nucleotides) under Arabidopsis thaliana (thale cress). RNAcentral describes it as "ATSL068930". Lineage: Eukaryota; Viridiplantae; Streptophyta; Magnoliopsida; Brassicales; Brassicaceae. The record is from RNAcentral.
UUUUGUUUUUCUUCUUCUUCUUGU